GAUGAACGCUGGCGGCGUGCCUAAUACAUGCAAGUCGAGCGAACAGAUAAGGAGCUUGUUCCUUUGACGUUAGCGGCGGACGGGUGAGUAACACGUGGGUAACCUACCUAUAAGACUGGGAUAACUUCGGGAAACCGGAGCUAAUACCGGAUAAUAUUUCGAACCGCAUGGUUCGAUAGUGAAAGAUGGUUUUGCUAUCACUUAUAGAUGGACCCGCGCCGUAUUAGCUAGUUGGUAAGGUAACAGCUUACCAAGGCGACGAUACGUAGCCGACCUGAGAGGGUGAUCGGCCACACUGGAACUGAGACACGGUCCAGACUCCUACGGGAGGCAGCAGUAGGGAAUCUUCCGCAAUGGGCGAAAGCCUGACGGAGCAACGCCGCGUGAGUGAUGAAGGUCUUCGGAUCGUAAAACUCUGUUAUUAGGGAAGAACAUACGUGUAAGUAACUGUGCACGUCUUGACGGUACCUAAUCAGAAAGCCACGGCUAACUACGUG
RNAcentral lists this ribosomal RNA (497 nucleotides) under uncultured bacterium. Its description in RNAcentral is "partial 16S ribosomal RNA". It matches the Rfam family "Bacterial small subunit ribosomal RNA", at positions 28 to 507 of the family's 1533-position model. The record is from RNAcentral.